GACCGCGUAGCUCAGUUGGCAGAGCAUUGGGCUAGUAUUCCAAAGGUCGUAGGUUCGAUCCCACCGUGGCCG
Non-coding RNA from Paramuricea clavata, 72 nucleotides. Lineage: Eukaryota; Metazoa; Cnidaria; Anthozoa; Malacalcyonacea; Plexauridae. The record is from the annotation of a GenBank genome assembly.